Callithrix jacchus (white-tufted-ear marmoset) is the source of this 1576-nucleotide long non-coding RNA. The record is from Ensembl. Lineage: Eukaryota; Metazoa; Chordata; Mammalia; Primates; Cebidae.
AUACCUGGCUAAUUUUUGUAUUUUCAGUAGAGACAGGGUUUCCCCAUGUUGACCAGGCUGGUCUGGAACUCCUGACCUCAGGUGAUCCACCAGCCUCCCAAAGUGCUGGAUUAUAGGUGUGAGCCACCACACUCUGCCUUUUUUGUAGAGUUUUUAAAGAGAAAUCACACUAUGGAUGUAUGAAAGGAAGGACAUAUGUCUGCCUGAUUCUUUUUCUCCCACCUGAGUACUAAACAGCCCCCACCCUGCUCAGCUUCCGAGAUCAGGUGAGAUUGGGUUGGUUCGGGGUGGUACGGUCAGAUUCUGAUUCUCUUUCAUCUCCUGUUUCCCACCGGUCAAGAUUUACUCCAGGGAGAACUAAGGCCCCUUUCACUUCUAGGUGGCAUCAUCUAGCUCCUUCUCAGCUGCUCAGGUGCUGUGCCCCACUAUGUAGUAUUUCAUCUGUGAUACUGGGAAUGAGGCACCAACUAAGAGAAGACAGCAACUGAGGGAAUCUUGAAAAAGCGCAAGGUUUAUGUCCAAUACAGAGACUGGAGAGGUCUUCACUUUAAUAUUUCCAGGCUUGUGGACAGUGCCUGGAGUACGUGGGUCAUUCAUCUGAAUGGCUUUCAGAUUACACCAGGUGAGAGGACCCCUCUUGUGUGAAUACAGUGUGCCCAGUCUCUCUCCAUCGAGGCCCAUCACCAUCUUUCAGCUGGUUGCAGAUUAUCACUGGCAACUCCCGCAGAGGAACCUGUGGCCAUAUCUGCCCACUCUAGUCCCUCCGCAGAAGCUACAGGAGGAAUGCCCCUUACUGACCACCUGCCAGCAUACAUGAAUGAAACUUCAGGUCACACAGCUGCUGCCAUGGAGGUGAGAACUGGGUUGGGUGGGUUAGAGCGAGUUUCAGGCGGCAAGGCAUGAAAGAAGAUGGCCUCCCCUGACUGGAGGGUUUGUGCCUAUUUUGCAGGUUAUAGAGAUCUUUUGGGAAAUGGAUGUGAAGGGCUCUGGAAUGUUCCUGAACUCACCUGCCAUUCCAGGGUGAGUUCUUGUGUGUUCAUGCAGAAGGCCUGAAUAUUCUGUUGUGGGCAUCUUUUUAUGUAAAAACAUUAUGCUGGGCCGGGCGUGGUGGCUCAAGCCUGUAAUCCCAGCACUUUGGGAGGCCGAGGCGGGUGGAUCACGAGGUCAACAGAUCGAGACCAUCCUGGUCAACAUGGUGAAACCCCGUCUCUACUAAAAAUUACAAAAAAUUAGCUGGGCACGGUGGUGCGUGCCUGUAAUCCCAGCUACUCAGGAGGCUGAGGCAGGAGAAUUGCCUGAACCCAGGGGGCGGAGGUUGCAGUGAGCCGAGAUUGCGCCAUUGCACUCCAGCCUGGGUAACAAGAGCGAAACUCCGUCUCAAAAAAAAAAAAAAAAAAAAAAAAACCAUUAUGCUGUACCCUCUACAAAUGUGUUCUAGUCAGUGCUAGACCUAUCUGCAAAAGUGUGGGCAGAGAAAAUGAGGUGAGGGUCUCUGAGAGAUUGGCACUGAACACUGGCUCGGGGGUUCUGUGGGACGAGAGCAGGGAUGGCUGGGAGGCGAACUCACUUCCAGGGC